This 610-nucleotide ribosomal RNA is filed under the name Lupinus angustifolius (narrow-leaved blue lupine). RNAcentral describes it as "rRNA LSU_rRNA_eukarya". It matches the Rfam family "Eukaryotic large subunit ribosomal RNA", at positions 697 to 1119 of the family's 3401-position model. The record is from RNAcentral. Lineage: Eukaryota; Viridiplantae; Streptophyta; Magnoliopsida; Fabales; Fabaceae.
CCUCUUGACAUGCACACUUUCAAUAACUACAUACGAAACUCAUGAUUUACGAUGGUCCAAAUAGGUCCGACCGACCCUGAUCUUAUGUGAAGGGUUCAAGUGAUAGCAUACCUACCGGGACACGAAAGAUGGUGAACUAUGCUUGAGCAGGGUGAAGCCAGAGGAAAAUCUGGUGGAGGCCUGCAACGACAUUAACGUGCAAAUCGUUCGUCUAACUUAGGUACAGGGGCGUAAGACUAAUCGAAUCGUCUAGUAGCUAGUUCCCUUCGAAGUUUCCCUUAGGAUAGCUGGAGCCCAAUGGUGAUUUGUAUCAGGUAAAACCAAUGAUUAGAGGCAUCAGGGGCGCAAUGCCCUCGACCUAUUCUCAAACGUUUAAUAGGUAGGAUGGUGUGGCUGCUUUGUUGUCGAGAUCACAUUUUUUUACGCAAAUGAGUUCUUAAUUUGCUUACACUUUUGGCAAGUGUCGCAAGUUUCUUUAGAUUUGAAAUUAAGUUUUGGUAGACCAACAAAUAAAUCUAGAGAUGACAAUUUAUCUAAGUGUUUAAUAUGUAUGUGCACAACGCACCUAUGCUAAAGCCAGAUGUCAUUCUCUCUAGAGAAUAAUGUAGUG